Caenorhabditis elegans is the source of this 21-nucleotide non-coding RNA. The record is from Ensembl. NCBI's taxonomy places the organism in Eukaryota, Metazoa, Nematoda, Chromadorea, Rhabditida, Rhabditidae.
UGCUAGAUGUGCAAAUAUCUG